This 69-nucleotide transfer RNA is filed under the name Araneae sp. MT-2014. Its description in RNAcentral is "tRNA-Asn". Lineage: Eukaryota; Metazoa; Arthropoda; Arachnida; Araneae. The record is from RNAcentral.
AGAUAUAAAGCUGAAAGCAAGUCAUUGUUAAUGAAUAGAAGUAUGGAGGCGAGGUUCCCCCUUUUUCCG